Molecule: long non-coding RNA, 507 nt
Organism: Sardina pilchardus (European sardine)
Lineage: Eukaryota; Metazoa; Chordata; Actinopteri; Clupeiformes; Clupeidae
Exons: 5
Source: RefSeq, a predicted model, not a curated record
AGCAAUUCCCAUCCCCCACCCCUAACUGACUUUUCAACUCCAGCCACAGUCACUUCAACUGUCACGUUUCUGUCAUGAAGCUUGCUGUAUGUAAGCUGUACAAACUCUGCCGUCAUCAUCAUAUUCAAGGCGGUGUGUUGUGUGGAGGACUGCUGCCCUGAGACCGCUGGGUUUAUUCUGGAAUAUUGUCACUUCCAAAGCCCAUUACAAGCCUGCAAUGGGCUCUAUGAACUGUCCAGAGCAAAGUCAGUCUGUCCUGAUGGCACUACCUGCUACUAUGGCUGCUGCUCUCAACCUGGUGGGGCAAGUCUUAAGAGUUGCAGACGGGGGAGCAAAGGGAGUUCCUGGACCCUUAAAGGGUUAAGGCCAUAAUGGGCCACCCAGAAGAGAUUCAGGCACUCCCUCAAGAUUGCUGGGCCAUGCAAUUAAUGCCAAACUUACAGAACUGUGAUGUCAGUACAGAAACAAAAAUAGCAAUUUUUAAAUAAAUUCAACAAAAGAAAACAG